ACUUGCAGCCUAACAGAACUUGAAGCCUAACAGAACUUGUGUGUCGGGUAUGCAAAUACCCACUAUGCAUGCGCUGCGGCCUUCAAAAUGGCUGUCAUAAGCCAGGAAAUGGCCGUAAAGGUCCCCAAACGGGCCUUAACAGCUAAAAGAUCAGGGGGAGGCUGGUGGGGGAACCUUCUGAGAUCCGGGGACCUGUCACUUCUUGCUUGAAAGUUGACCCCCGCUGCUUAUCUCUCAAUCUGAAGAUGCUGUCUCUUCCCUUAGAAUGCAAAAUGGAAACCCCUGACUGGGAUCUGUGAGGCCUUUAUCUAUCGAUCAGAAAAAAGACUAAAAGCCUCACUCCAUUUGUACGCUUCACUUCCGCUCCUGCCAGAGAAACUAAGCACUCGCUUUAUCCGCCCCAAUAUUCUAUACAGUCAAGACUGGCUGAGAGGUUGUUUGUUUGGGGUCCACUGCCUUUAUCAGUGAAAGCUAGCAGGUUCCCUUCAAUCUGAAACUCGUCACAAGAUGAUACAUCCAAAUGGCUCUGCAAAAGGAACAUCAAAAGGAGACAAAUAUCAUGUCCAGAAGCAACUGACAGGCAGAGUCAUCACAUACAAGCUUUCCCUGCGAGAAAAGAAGAAAAGAAAGAACCUACCAAAGUGGUGAAUGCUUGAUUUGUGAAGAGAUAUGUAUCACCAGGCUCUGACUUAAUAACAUCAGAAUUCACUUGCUGCACUACCAGCCUCCAAAAAAACCCACUUUCAAUGCAUAUUUUUCCCUCCAAAGGAGAGAAUGAUGGGAGAGACUGGAUACCUCCCUACAGUUCCUGGUCUUUAUUAGUCAAUCAGCUGCACGCACUGCAGGCAUUCAAUACAUGUUCGUUCUGUACUGGUAA
This is a long non-coding RNA of Hemicordylus capensis (graceful crag lizard), 877 nucleotides long. RefSeq lists it as uncharacterized. The record is from RefSeq and is a predicted model, not a curated record. The transcript is spliced from 2 exons. Lineage: Eukaryota; Metazoa; Chordata; Lepidosauria; Squamata; Cordylidae.